This 323-nucleotide unclassified non-coding RNA is filed under the name Arabidopsis thaliana (thale cress). The record is from RNAcentral. Lineage: Eukaryota; Viridiplantae; Streptophyta; Magnoliopsida; Brassicales; Brassicaceae.
AAUCUGUUUUUUUUUUUCAACCUUCAUUAUCAUGGUACAUAUCCCUUUCACCGUGGCCCGUGAGAAAAUAUGUAUGUUUAUUGCAUAUAUGUCCAAGUUCAUCGAAUAUUUAGUUUUUCACGGUAUGGUUGAAAAACUAAAUAAUCGGCAUUUGGAAUUGGAGUGUUUUAGUUAAGAGUUAACGGUUUUGUCUUGUACACGUUAAAUACCAAGAGCUGGUCAGAUGGGAACAGACUCAAUUAUUUGAAGUUGGGAGAGGAGAUGUUACAUAAACUUAAUCAAUGCAGUUGUAAUGUCUUUCUCAACUAAUUACAUUAUCUUUU